Molecule: transfer RNA, 68 nt
Filed under: Cricetulus griseus (Chinese hamster)
Lineage: Eukaryota; Metazoa; Chordata; Mammalia; Rodentia; Cricetidae
Rfam family: tRNA
About the family: Transfer RNA (tRNA) molecules are approximately 80 nucleotides in length.
Source: Rfam by way of RNAcentral
AGGUAGCUCAGUUAUAGAGCACUUGCCCAGCAAGUAUGAGGCCCUGGGUUCAAUUCCCAGUAACCCUU